Molecule: transfer RNA, 72 nt
Rfam family: tRNA
About the family: Transfer RNA (tRNA) molecules are approximately 80 nucleotides in length. Their secondary structure includes four short double-helical elements and three loops (D, anti-codon, and T loops). Further hydrogen bonds mediate the characteristic L-shaped molecular structure. tRNAs have two regions of fundamental functional importance: the anti-codon, which is responsible for specific mRNA codon recognition, and the 3' end, to which the tRNAs corresponding amino acid is attached (by aminoacyl-tRNA synthetases). tRNAs cope with the degeneracy of the genetic code in two manners: having more than one tRNA (with a specific anti-codon) for a particular amino acid; and 'wobble' base-pairing, i.e. permitting non-standard base-pairing at the 3rd anti-codon position.
GGGCCCGUAGCUCAGCGGUAGAGCACCACGCUGAUAACGUGGGGGUCGUGAGUUCGAAUCUCACCGGGCCCA